UGGCGGAAUGCUUACACAUGCAAGUCGAACGGUAGGAGGGGGCAACCCUGAGAGUGGCGAACGGGUGAGUAAUAUAUCGGAACGUGCCCAGUCGUGGGGGAUAACGUAGCGAAAGCUACGCUAAUACCGCAUACUAUCUAUGGAUGAAAGCGGGGGAUCGCAAGACCUCGCGCGAUUGGAGCGGCCGAUAUCAGAUUAGGUAGUUGGUGAGGUAAAGGCUCACCAAGCCGACGAUCUGUAGCUGGUCUGAGAGGACGACCAGCCGCACUGGGACUGAGACACGGUCCAGACUCCUACGGGAGGCAGCAGUGGGGAAUUUUGGACAAUGGACGCAAGUCUGAUCCAGCAAUGCCGCGUGCAGGAUGAAGGCCUUCGGGUUGUAAACUGCUUUUGUACGGAACGAAACGGUGAGCUCUAAUACAGUUUGCUAAUGACGGUACCGUAAGAAUAAGCACCGGCUAACUACGUG
RNAcentral lists this ribosomal RNA (469 nucleotides) under uncultured bacterium. RNAcentral describes it as "bacterial SSU rRNA". It matches the Rfam family "Bacterial small subunit ribosomal RNA", at positions 37 to 507 of the family's 1533-position model. The record is from RNAcentral.